RNAcentral lists this ribosomal RNA (459 nucleotides) under uncultured bacterium. Its description in RNAcentral is "bacterial SSU rRNA". It matches the Rfam family "Bacterial small subunit ribosomal RNA", at positions 56 to 518 of the family's 1533-position model. The record is from RNAcentral.
UGCAAGUCGAACGGAGCUUAAGAAGGAAGCUUGCUUCAUUUAAGCUUAGUGGCGGACGGGUGGAGUAACGCGUGAGCAACCUGCCCUUCAGUGGGGAAUAACACCGAGAAAUCGGUGCUAAUACCGCAUAAUGUCGGAGGACCGCAUGAAUCUUCCGACCAAAGGAUUUAUUCGCUGAAGGAUGGGCUCGCGUCCGAUUAGGCAGUUGGCGGGGUAACGGCCCACCAAACCAACGAUCGGUAGCCGAACUGAGAGGUUGAUCGGCCACAUUGGGACUGAGACACGGCCCAGACUCCUACGGGAGGCAGCAGUGGGGAAUAUUGGGCAAUGGGCGAAAGCCCUGACCCAGCAACGCCGCGUGAAGGAUGAAGGUCUUCGGAUUGUAAACUUCUUUGAUUGGGGAAGAAUAAAUGACCUACCCAAAGAACAAGUCACGGCUAACUACGUGCCAGCCGCAGC